Molecule: ribosomal RNA, 1356 nt
Filed under: uncultured eukaryote
Lineage: Eukaryota
Description: SSU rRNA
Rfam family: Eukaryotic small subunit ribosomal RNA
Source: RNAcentral
GAAACUGCGUAAUGGGCUCGAGUAAAUCAGUUUAUCGUUAUAUUUGGAUAGUUACCUUUAUACAUUAUAUCUUUUAUUUUUUUACAAAUACAUGCAAAAACCUCGACUUCGGAAGGGGUGUAUUUAUUAGAUAAAAAACCAAUGCCCUUCGGGGCUCCUUGGUGAAUCAUAAUAACUUAACGAAUCGCAUGGCCUUGCGCCGGCGAUGGUUCAUUCAAAUUUCUGCCCUAUCAACUUUCGAUGGUAGGAUAGUGGCCUACCAUGGUAUCAACGGGUAACGGGGAAUUAGGGUUCGACUCCGGAGAGGGAGCCUGAGAAACGGCUACCACAUCCAAGGAAGGCAGCAGGCGCGCAAAUUACCCAAUCCCGACACGGGGAGGUAGUGACAAUAAAUACUGAUACAGGGCUCUUUUGGGUCUUGUAAUUGGAAUGAGUACAAUUUAAAUCCCUUAACGAGGAACAAUUGGAGGGCAAGUCUGGUGCCAGCAGCCGCGGUAAUUCCAGCUCCAAUAGCGUAUAUUAAAGUUGUUGCAGUUAAAAAGCUCGUAGUUGAACCUUGGGCCUGGCUGGCCGGUCCGCCUCACCGCGUGUACUGGUCCGGCCGGGCCUUUCCUUCUGGGGAACCUCAUGCCCUUCACUUGGCGUGUAUGGGGAGCCAGCACUUUACUUUGAAAAAAUUAGAGUGUUCAAAGCAGGCCUUUGCUCGAAUACAUUAGCAUGGAAUAAUAGAAUAGGACGUGUGGUUCUAUUUUGUUGGUCUCUAGGACCGCCGUAUUGAUUAAUAGGGAUAGUCGGGGUCAUCAGUAUUCAAUCGUCAGAGGUGAAAUUCUUGGAUUGAUUGAAGACUAACUACCGCGAAAGCAUUUGCCAAGGAUGUUUUCAUUAAUCAGUGAACGAAAGUUAGGGGAUCGAAGACGAUCAGAUACCGUCGUAGUCUUAACCAUAAACUAUGCCGACUAGGGAUCGGACGGUGUUAGUAUUUUGACCCGUUCGGCACCUUACGAGAAAUCAAAAUUUUUGGGUUCUGGGGGGAGUAUGGUCGCAAGGCUGAAACUUAAAGAAAUUGACGGAAGGGCACCACCAGGCGUGGGCCUGCGGCUUAAUUUGACUCAACACGGGGAAACUCACCAGGUCCAGACACAAUAAGGAUUGACAGAUUGAGAGCUCUUUCUUGAUUUUGUGGGUGGUGGUGCAUGGCCGUUCUUAGUUGGUGGAGUGAUUUGUCUGCUUAAUUGCGAUAACGAACGAGACCUUAACCUGCUAAAUAGCCAGGCCGCUUUGGCGGUCGUCCGGUUCUUAGAGAGACUAUACGAAAAAACAAAAAAAACUAGAGGCAAUAACAGGUCUGUGAUGCCC